Molecule: long non-coding RNA, 1019 nt
Filed under: Nicotiana benthamiana
Lineage: Eukaryota; Viridiplantae; Streptophyta; Magnoliopsida; Solanales; Solanaceae
Description: long non-coding RNA (NBEN_LNC008809)
Source: RNAcentral
AAUGCUUUCUGCAUGCUUCAAUCUUUUCUCUGUAUGGUCAAGACCCAAUUCAAUGCAACUGUACAAACUGCUAGGAGUGACAAUGCUUUAGAAUUGGGAUCUAGCAUUACUGGUACAUCCUUUUUUAACCAACAUGGAAUCAUACACCAAACCACUUGCCCACAUACUUCCCAAAAGAAUGGUGUUGUUGAGAGGAAACAUAGAACUCUUCUUGAAACCUAUAGAGCUUUGCUUUUCCAGUCUGGUUUACCCAUUUCUUUCCGGGGUUAUUGUCUAUUAACUGCUACCUACCUUGUUAACAGAGUACCCUCCAGGCUCCUUCAUGGUAAAUCUCCUUAUGAAAUCUUGCAUAGUAAGGCACCCACUUACUCUCAUUUAAAGGCUUUUGGCUGCCUUUCCUAUGCUACUGUCCCCAUUCCUCAAAGGGACAAGUUAAAGCCUAGGGCCAUUUCUUGUGUUUUCCUAGGGUAUCCUUUUGCCAAAAAGGGUUAUAAACUAAAUGAUCUUAGUUCCAAAAAGUGUUUUGUGUCCAGGGAUGUUGUCUUUCAUGAAACUUCUUUUAGUUAUAAACUAUAUGAUCUUAGUUCCAAAAAGUGUCUUGUGUCCAGGGAUGUUGUCUUUCAUGAAACUUCUUUUCCUUUCAAAUCUUCCUCUUCUGUCACCUCUGUUCCUCCUGCUUUCCCUUCCUCUUUUACUUCUAUUCCUCCCAUUGAACAUUCCUCUUCUGACCAAGACUUCUCUGUUCCACUCUCUUCCUCUCCACCUCCUGUUCCAGAUUCUCCUCAUUCAAAUCCAAUUUCCAGUCCUCCUUUCAACCCUGACAUCUCCCCUCCUGCUUUACCUUCUUCCACAUCAACUGAUGUUCCCAGGAAAUCUGGCAGACAACACAAUCCUCCUUCUUAUCUUAAGGAUUAUGUUUGUAACCUUCCUGCUUUCUCUGGGUCUUCUUCUUCUCCUCUGGAGACUGAACCCCUUUACUACUCUCAAGCUGCAUCAGUUCCAGUAUGGCAGGAUGCCAN